Molecule: long non-coding RNA, 499 nt
Organism: Saccostrea echinata
Lineage: Eukaryota; Metazoa; Mollusca; Bivalvia; Ostreida; Ostreidae
Exons: 4
Source: RefSeq, a predicted model, not a curated record
CAACAGAUUGAACUUGGGUGAAAAUUCCAACUCAGAAAAUGGGAAAUCAUUACAGACAAUAUGGAAUCAAUGGAAGAAGGAAAUAAUACUUGUGUCCUCGGGCGUUGUACUGCUAAGUGGAAUAUUUGGCUUCUUGUUUGGAGUUUGUUUUUCAUUUUAUAGAAAAAACAAGUCAAUCAAGAGAUACACAGAAAGAAAAUGUACUUAUUCCAUAAAUUCUGAACUCUAUGAGCAAAUCAGCGAUAAAUCAAGUAUAAUACAGGGAAAUACGCAAACCAUUCCUGAACAAAAUAUCAGCAAUACAACUAAAGCUGUCAACCCCUGCGAUCCUCCCAUCUGUAAUCAUGAAAGUGAAACAAACACGAACACCGAAUUUGAGUACAGCCAUGUUUAUAAUAUCUUAGAACCAAACUAUGGGACAAGAUGUACUUCACAAUCGAGCAAUCUAUCGAAAGUGGAAAGUGUGUAUUCUUUGCCAAGGUGUCUUAGUCUCGAGAUA